RNAcentral lists this ribosomal RNA (492 nucleotides) under uncultured bacterium. RNAcentral describes it as "partial 16S ribosomal RNA". It matches the Rfam family "Bacterial small subunit ribosomal RNA", at positions 30 to 523 of the family's 1533-position model. The record is from RNAcentral.
AUUGAACGCUGGCGGCAUGCUUUACACAUGCAAGUCGAACGGUAACAGGUUAAGCUGACGAGUGGCGAACGGGUGAGUAAUGCAUCGGAACGUGCCGAUCGUGGGGGAUAACGCAGCGAAAGCUGCGCUAAUACCGCAUACGGUCUGAGGAUGAAAGCGGGGGACCGUAAGGCCUCGCGCGAUCGGAGCGGCCGAUGUCAGAUUAGGUAGUUGGUGGGGUAAAGGCUCACCAAGCCAACGAUCUGUAGCUGGUCUGAGAGGACGACCAGCCACACUGAGACUGAGACACGGCCCAGACUCCUACGGGAGGCAGCAGUGGGGAAUUUUGGACAAUGGGCGAAAGCCUGAUCCAGCAAUGCCGCGUGCAGGAAGAAGGCCUUCGGGUUGUAAACUGCUUUUGUACGGAGCGAAAAGGCUCUCUCUAAUACAGGGGGCUCAUGACGGUACCGUAAGAAUAAGCACCGGCUAACUACGUGCCAGCCGCCGCGGUAA